This 292-nucleotide ribosomal RNA is filed under the name uncultured bacterium. RNAcentral describes it as "partial 16S ribosomal RNA". The record is from RNAcentral.
GGACUACUGGGGUAUCUAAUCCCAUUCGCUCCCCUGGCUUUCGUUCCUCAGUGUCAGUUAUGGCCCAGCAAGCCGCCUACGCCACCGGUGUUCUUCCCAAUAUCUACGCAUUUCACCGCUACACUGGGAAUUCCGCUUGCCUCUACCAUACUCUAGUCUGCCAGUAUCCGAUGCACUCCCGAGGUUGAGCCUCGAUCUUUAACAUCAGACUUAACAAACCACCUACGAACUCUUUACGCCCAAUAAAUCCGGACAACGCUUGCAUCCUACGUCUUACCGCGGCUGCUGGCAC